GACGAACGCUGGCGGCGUGCUUAACACAUGCAAGUCGAACGGAAAGACCCUGCUUUUGUUGGUUUCUCGAUUGCCGAACGGGUGAGUGACACGUGUGUAUCCUGCCCUUGUCUUUCGGAUAUCUUCAGGAAACUGCGGCUCAUACCCUAUAUGAUCUCCUGCUCCGUGGUGGGCGUUGGAAAGUUUCGGCGGUUGUGGCUGGACUCGCGGCUUAUCCGCUUGUUGGUGGGGUAGUUGCUUACCAAGGCUUUGACGGAUAGCCUGCCUGAGAGGGUGACCGGCGACAAGGGGACUGAGAGAGGGAGCAGAAGGGUACGGGAGGCAGCAGGGGGGAGUAUUGCACAAUGGGCGGGAGCGUGAGGCAGAGGCGCUGCGUGCGGGAUGACGGCUUUCGGGGGGAAAACAGCUUUGGAAUGUGACGAAGCGUGAGUGACGGUAAUGGGUAAAGAAGCACCGGCUAACUACGUG
Molecule: ribosomal RNA, 468 nt
Filed under: uncultured bacterium
Lineage: Bacteria
Description: partial 16S ribosomal RNA
Rfam family: Bacterial small subunit ribosomal RNA
Source: RNAcentral